GGGGAUUUAGUUCAGUGGUAGAGCGCUUGCCUAGCAAGCACAAGGCCCUGGGUUCGGUCCCCAGCUCCG
Molecule: non-coding RNA, 69 nt
Organism: Rattus norvegicus (Norway rat)
Lineage: Eukaryota; Metazoa; Chordata; Mammalia; Rodentia; Muridae
Source: Rfam